GACAUCACUUGCGGACCUCCCAGAAUCACCCAGAAGGAGGAAAAGCCAGCAUUCCCAGCCCGCCCCCAGAGUGAUUCCAGGAGAUUCAGACCCUAUAAGGCAGUGAAGCUCUGUGAACAGCAAAGAUAGAGUUUUGAAAGAUUUCUUGUUCUUGGCGACGUGGGGAUUUCACAAACAGGAAAAACUGCUUUUACUUUUCCUAAAGAGGAACCAUUUAUGCCUCAUGAUGCAUUGAUGCCUGGAACUGGGCUCGCUUUAAAGUAGAGCGGAAGUGUAAGAAAUGCUCUUAGCAGAGGACAAGCAGAGUUUUAACCUUACAGGUGUGAAUCCUGAGGAAACACGCAGCGUGGGUGUGAGAUGAGGGGAAACCCUAUUGUUACAGCUGCCAAAAGCAAAACAAGACCUAUGAUGUUUCCUUGCUCUUUGUGUAUCAACUCAAGCAGAAGGCAGAAAGAUGUCACAGUGGAGGAGGAUCAACACAACACAUUACUGCUGUGUCAUUACUCAACUCCUAGAGAACACAAUGGAAAACUCCUGAUUAAUGACUUGGAGAGUUGGAGACCACAUCACUGAUGUGCUUUUUCUAUCUAAAAGAAUAUGUGAUCUGAAGAAAACCAAGAUAAUAAAUCCCCAGAGAAAUACCAGGUCUUCUCCCAGAAGAAUGCUUAAAAUUCUGA
Molecule: long non-coding RNA, 677 nt
Organism: Tympanuchus pallidicinctus (lesser prairie-chicken)
Lineage: Eukaryota; Metazoa; Chordata; Aves; Galliformes; Phasianidae
Exons: 3
Source: RefSeq, a predicted model, not a curated record